This 282-nucleotide unclassified non-coding RNA is filed under the name Hevea brasiliensis (rubber tree). The record is from RNAcentral. Lineage: Eukaryota; Viridiplantae; Streptophyta; Magnoliopsida; Malpighiales; Euphorbiaceae.
UGGGCUGCUCGAUUUUUCGAGGAACUUGAUUAUGUAAAUGAAGGAGAAAAUGGAACUAUCUUUGCUGAAAUGAUGAGAGAAGACCUUCCUCAGGUUGUAGUACCAAAGACAUUCAGCAAGUAUACGUCAAGAAAAGUUCUUACCACACAAUGGAUAGAUGGUGAGAAGUUAUCACAAAGUAAGGAAAGUGAUGUUGGGGAACUGGUCAAUGUUGGAGUCAUUUGCUACCUAAAACAGCUACUUGAUACUGGUUUCUUCCAUGCUGAUCCACAUCCUGGAAAU